UACGAAGGGGGCGAGCGUUGUUCGGAAUUACUGGGCGUAAAGGGCGCGUAGGCGGCGACUCAAGUUAGAUGUGAAAGUCCUGGGCUUAACCUGGGGACUGCAUUUGAUACUGGGUUGCUUGAAUUCGGGAGAGGAUAGCGGAAUUCCCAGUGUAGAGGUGAAAUUCGUAGAUAUUGGGAAGAACACCGGUGGCGAAGGCGGCUAUCUGGACCGACAUUGACGCUGAGGCGCGAAAGCGUGGGGAGCAAACAGA
This 253-nucleotide ribosomal RNA is filed under the name uncultured bacterium. Its description in RNAcentral is "partial 16S ribosomal RNA". It matches the Rfam family "Bacterial small subunit ribosomal RNA", at positions 524 to 776 of the family's 1533-position model. The record is from RNAcentral.